RNAcentral lists this ribosomal RNA (802 nucleotides) under uncultured bacterium. RNAcentral's name for it is "bacterial SSU rRNA". It matches the Rfam family "Bacterial small subunit ribosomal RNA", at positions 97 to 900 of the family's 1533-position model. The record is from RNAcentral.
GGCAAACGGGUGCGGAACACGUACAGAACCUUCCUUCGAGCGGGGAAUAGCCCAGAGAAAUUUGGAUUAAUACCCCAUAGUAUAUUGAAGAGGCAUCUCUUUAAUAUUAAAGAUUUAUCACUUGAAGAUGGCUGUGCGGCUGAUUAGGUAGUUGGCGGGGUAACGGCCCACCAAGCCUGCGAUCAGUAACUGGUGUGAGAGCACGACCAGUCACACGGGCACUGAGACACGGGCCCGACUCCUACGGGAGGCAGCAGUAAGGAAUAUUGGUCAAUGGACGCAAGUCUGAACCAGCCAUGCCGCGUGGAGGAUGAAGGUCCUCUGGAUUGUAAACUUCUUUUAUUUGGGACGAAAAAGGGUCUUUCUAGAUCAACUGACGGUACCAGAUGAAUAAGCACCGGCUAACUCCGUGCCAGCAGCCGCGGUAAUACGGAGGGUGCAAGCGUUAUCCGGAUUCACUGGGUUUAAAGGGUGCGUAGGUGGGUUGGUAAGUCAGUGGUGAAAUCCCCGAGCUUAACUUGGGAACUGCCAUUGAUACUAUCAGUCUUGAAUACCGUGGAGGUUAGCGGAAUAUGUCAUGUAGCGGUGAAAUGCUUAGAUAUGACAUAGAACACCAAUUGCGAAGGCAGCUGGCUACACGAAUAUUGACACUGAGGCACGAAAGCGUGGGGAUCAAACAGGAUUAGAUACCCUGGUAGUCCACGCCCUAAACUAUGGAUACUCGACAUCAGCGAUACACUGUUGGUGUCUGAGCGAAAGCAUUAAGUAUCCCACCUGGGAAGUACGAUCGCAAGAUUGAAAC